AGAGUUUGAUCCUGGCUCAGAGAUGAACGCUGGCGGUAUGCCUUAACACAUGCAAGUCGAACGGAGUCCCUUCGGGGACUUAGUGGCGGACGGGUAGAGUAACACGUAGAGAACCUACCUUCAGAAUGGGGACAACAGUUGGAAACGACUGCUAAAUACCCAAUGUGCCGAAAGGUGAAAGAUUUAUCGUCUGAAGAUGGGCUCGCGUCUGAUUAGCUAGAUGGUGGGGUAAGAGCCUACCAUGGCAACGAUCAGUAGCUGGUCUGAGAGGAUGAGCAGCCACACUGGGACUGAGACACGGACCANACUCCUACGGGAGGCAGCACGUGGGGAAUUUUCCGCAAUGGGCGAAAAGCCUGACGGAGCAAUACCGACGUGGAGCGGAGGAAGGCUCUUGGGUUGUAAACCUCAAAACUUAGGAAGAAAAAAAACUGACGGUACCUAAUAUAAGCAUCGGGCUAAACUCCGUGCCCAGCAGCCGCGGUAAUACGGGGGAUGCAAGCGUUAUCCGGAAUCAUUGGGCGUAAAGCGUCCGUAGGUGGCACUUCAAGUCUGCUGUCAAAGACCGAAGCUCAACUUCGGGCAGGCGGUGGAAACUGAAGAGCUAGAGUAUAGUAGGGGUAGAGGGAAUUCCUAGUGUAGCGGUGAAAUGCGUAGAGAUUAGGAAGAACACCAGUGGGGAAGGCGCUCUACUGGGCAUAUACUUGACACUGAGGGACGAAAGCUAGGGUAGCGAAAGGGAUUAGAUACCCCUGUAGUCCUAGCGGUAAACGAUGGAUACUAGGUGUUGUCUGUAUCGACCCGGACAGUGCCGAAGCAAACGCGUUAAGAUCCCGCCUGGGGAGUACGCACGCAAGUGUGAAACUCAAAGGAAUUGACGGGGACCCGCACAAGCGGUGGAGUAUGUGGUUAAUUCGAUGCAACGCGAAGAACCUUACCAAGGCUUGACAUCCUGGGAAUCUUGAUGAAAGUUAAGAGUGCCGAAAGGAACCCAGAGACAGGUGGUGCAUGGCUGUCGUCAGCUCGUGUCGUGAGAUGUUGGGUUAAGUCCCGCAACGAGCGCAACCC
Molecule: ribosomal RNA, 1068 nt
Filed under: uncultured cyanobacterium
Lineage: Bacteria; Bacillati; Cyanobacteriota
Description: bacterial SSU rRNA
Rfam family: Bacterial small subunit ribosomal RNA
Source: RNAcentral